Molecule: long non-coding RNA, 219 nt
Filed under: Mytilus galloprovincialis (Mediterranean mussel)
Lineage: Eukaryota; Metazoa; Mollusca; Bivalvia; Mytilida; Mytilidae
Source: RNAcentral
UUCAUUUUCAAAUAUUUAUCAAAUGAACUAAUAAUAUGUUUAAUAGGAGUCUGACACAACACUUGAAGAUUUUAAAACUGAUCAGUGUUCGGUGAUCUUUUAAUUACAAUUUUCCCAAACUAACCAUCUUAUUUAGACAAUUUGUGUAUCACUGAAAAAUGAAAUUGUAUUGCAAUUCAAAAAUUUUUUAUUAAAAUCUAAUAGAAUUAUUUAUGUUGU